This 549-nucleotide ribosomal RNA is filed under the name uncultured bacterium. RNAcentral describes it as "bacterial SSU rRNA". It matches the Rfam family "Bacterial small subunit ribosomal RNA", at positions 355 to 896 of the family's 1533-position model. The record is from RNAcentral.
UGGGGAAUAUUGCACAAUGGGCGAAAGCCUGAUGCAGCCAUGCCGCGUGUGUGAAGAAGGCUCUAGGGUUGUAAAGCACUUUCAGUAGGGAGGAAAUGUUAACGAUUAAUACUCGUUAGCUUUGACGUUACCUACAGAAGAAGCACCGGCAAACUCCGUGCCAGCAGCCGCGGUAAUACGGAGGGUGCGAGCGUUAAUCGGAAUUACUGGGCGUAAAGCGCGCGUAGGUGGUUUGAUAAGCUAGCUGUGAAAGCCCCGGGCUCAACCUGGGAACUGCAGUUAGAACUGUCUGACUAGAGUACAGUAGAGGGUGGCGGAAUUUCCUGUGUAGCGGUGAAAUGCGUAGAUAUAGGAAGGAACAUCAGUGGCGAAGGCGGCCACCUGGACUGAUACUGACACUGAGGUGCGAAGGCGUGGGGAGCAAACAGGAUUAGAUACCCUGGUAGUCCACGCCGUAAACGAUGUCUACUAGCCGUUGGGAGACUUGAUCUCUUAGUGGCGCAGUUAACGCGAUAAGUAGACCGCCUGGGGAGUACGGCCGCAAGGUUA